RNAcentral lists this ribosomal RNA (582 nucleotides) under uncultured bacterium. RNAcentral describes it as "bacterial SSU rRNA". It matches the Rfam family "Bacterial small subunit ribosomal RNA", at positions 41 to 604 of the family's 1533-position model. The record is from RNAcentral.
GGCGCGCCUAACACAUGCAAGUCGAGCGAGAAAGGGGAAACCCCGGUAAAGCGACGCACGGGUGAGUAACACGUAGGUAAUCUGCCCCCUGGUGGUGGAUAACCUUCCGAAAGGAGGGCUAAUACAGCAUGAGACCACGUGCUCGCGAGAGCGUGAGGUCAAAGCCGGCCUCUUCAUGAACGCCGGCGCCAGGGGAUGAGCCUGCGGCCCAUCACGGUAGUUGGUAGGGUAAUGGCCUACCAAGCCCAAGACGGGUAGCUGGUCUGAGAGGAUGAUCAGCCACACUGGAACUGAGACACGGUCCAGACUCCUACGGGAGGCAGCAGUGGGGAAUCUUGCGCAAUGGGCGAAAGCCUGACGCAGCGACGCCGCGUGAGUGAUGAAGGCCUUCGGGUUGUAAAGCUCUGUGGAGAGGGACGAAUAAGCGUCGGCGAACAGUCGGCGUGAUGACGGUACCUUUUUAGCAAGCACCGGCUAACUCUGUGCCAGCAGCCGCGGUAAGACAGAGGGUGCAAACGUUGUUCGGAAUUACUGGGCGUAAAGCGCGUGUAGGCUGCUUCGAAAGUCGGAUGUGAAAGCCCU